ACUCCUUUCACCUGUACCACAUAAAGUCAUUGCAGAGCUACAGCCAUGUUCAUACAAAGUUAACCAGCUGUUUAUUUCGUCAUUCCCUCUUUCAUGUCCGUCUGGUGAACGAAAGUGGGCGGGGUCUCAGAGCAGGGACACUGGGGGAAGGGGAAACACGCAUCAACACGCAGGACAAAGAUCUGCGUUUCUCUGCUGCUACAGCCUCGGCUGCGUUGGGUUGUUAGUCUCCCUUUCACCUGUACCAUAUAAAAUGUAUUCCCACAAAGUUGAUCAGCUGCUUUCACAAUCAGAAUCGUUUUUAUUCCCCAGGUUUGAACAGGGCAAACAUUAUUUUUAUUUACAAAAAAAAAAUUAAAACGUUCACAUGUGAUUUGUAAAUGCUGCACUGAGCUCUUUUGCUUUGACGAGUUUUGUGUCUACAUUAAAGCGGGCAGAUGUAAUGGAAAAAUUGUGCUUUAUUGCUCUUGUGUUCAUUUCUGACUCUGUAUGCCUUUCUGUGAUUUUAUGCACUAUUUUUGAGCGAAAACAUUUUACGCUAAGCAUAUCUAGAGUUGUUUUCUACUUGAUUCACACUUUCACACAAAUUUUUAUCUUCCACUGACGCAAAAUGACAUCCACCAGACGAAACAAGAUAAAAAUGAUUGUCAUAUUGACGAUGACAGCAAUAUGCGUGGUCACUCUGACAUUCGCAUCAACCGAAGACACUCUUAUCCACCGCACACCGGAGUCACCCACAAAUCGAUCAUGCUUAGUUUGUGCCAUUAGAGACCUGAUGACCAUGACGGAACAAUUGCCCCACAUAGCGAAGACAACAUGGCAGAAUAGAAUGGCCUUAGAGAUGUUAUUAACAAAGAUGGGAAGUGGUUUGGUAAAACAUGCUGUACCUUUAUUCAGGAUGAUUGAACAUGAACUGAUUGGAAUCAAUUAUAGGCUUAUGUCCCUGUCUUACCAAAGCUCAUACACAAGGGUUAUUCUAGUAUAACUACCCACAAAAACAGCUCACAAUCUUUUGUCCCUACGCCAUUUACAUCUUUACAUCUUUAUAAGCAAUACAUUUAACGAAUCAUUUUUAAAGAAUGCUUUAUUACUACAGAAUGAAUACCACGAUUGACAAUUUUUAUUCUUUCAAUGUUUGAAUAAUAUGUAAUCAAAAGGGGGGAAUUGUAAUGGAAAAAUUGUGCUUUAAUGCUCUUGUGUUCAUUUCUGACUCUGUACAAUAACCAUGCAUUCUGUACUUGUUGAUUAGACCCAGAACUGAACAUUAUUAGACAAACAAUCUAUCUUCCUCUCAAGGUUCUGUCGCACAUUAAGUGCUGACAUCUAAUGUUGUGUUUGACUGACCGAUUGUUUAUGGCUUGUGUCUGCCUUUUACCCCUGGUCUCUGGCUCCUUUCUAUCUGAUGCCCUACCAGACCCAAGGCUGUAGACCUUGUGUAUUCCCUGUGUAAUGUAAACAUCUUCACCCACAGUGUGAUAGGAAGAUUCCACCAGGUCCCGGGAGAGAGGUUAAAAGGCAGAGACAACCUGCCUGAACGGGGUGAUCUUUGCAUUAUACCUCCGUGGUGUAUGUUCUGAUCUCCCCAGCUGGCUUUUUAAUUGCUUUCCUCAUUAUUUCAAUAAAUCGCACAAAAGGACAACUCUCUCUCA
RNAcentral lists this long non-coding RNA (1649 nucleotides) under Betta splendens (Siamese fighting fish). RNAcentral describes it as "lncRNA (ENSBSLG00000022718.1)". Lineage: Eukaryota; Metazoa; Chordata; Actinopteri; Anabantiformes; Osphronemidae. The record is from RNAcentral.